RNAcentral lists this ribosomal RNA (492 nucleotides) under uncultured bacterium. RNAcentral describes it as "partial 16S ribosomal RNA". It matches the Rfam family "Bacterial small subunit ribosomal RNA", at positions 29 to 507 of the family's 1533-position model. The record is from RNAcentral.
AGUGAACGCUGGCGGUAGGCCUAACACAUGCAAGUCGAACGGCAGCACAGUAAGAGCUUGCUCUUACGGGUGGCGAGUGGCGGACGGGGGAGGAAUACAUCGGAAUCUACUUUUUCGUGGGGGAUAACGUAGGGAAACUUACGCUAAUACCGCAUACGACCUACGGGGGAAAGCGGGGGAUCUUCGGACCUUGCGCGAUUGAAUGAGCCGAUGUCGGAUUAGCUAGUUGGCGGGGUAAAGGCCCACCAAGGCGACGAUCCGUAGCUGGUCUGAGAGGAUGAUCAGCCACACUGGAACUGAGACACGGUCCAGACUCCUACGGGAGGCAGCAGUGGGGAAUAUUGGACAAUGGGCGCAAGCCUGAUCCAGCCAUACCGCGUGGGUGAAGAAGGCCUUCGGGUUGUAAAGCCCUUUUGUUGGGAAAGAAAAGCAGCAGGUUAAUACCCCGCUGUUCUGACGGUACCCAAAGAAUAAGCACCGGCUAACUUCGUG